UACGAAGGGGGCUAGCGUUGCUCGGAAUUACUGGGCGUAAAGGGAGCGUAGGCGGGUUAUCAAGUUGGAGGUGAAAGCCCAGGGCUCAACCUUGGAAUUGCCUUCAAAACUGAUAGCCUAGAGUAUGAUAGAGGUAAGUGGAAUUCCGAGUGUAGAGGUGAAAUUCGUAAAUAUUCGGAGGAACACCGGUGGCGAAGGCGACUUACUGGAUCAUGACUGACGCUGAGGCUCGAAAGCGUGGGGAGCAAACAGG
This 253-nucleotide ribosomal RNA is filed under the name uncultured bacterium. Its description in RNAcentral is "partial 16S ribosomal RNA". It matches the Rfam family "Bacterial small subunit ribosomal RNA", at positions 524 to 776 of the family's 1533-position model. The record is from RNAcentral.